AUUUUAAUUUUAAACACAUGCAAAGGUUUAAAAAUUAUUUAAAUAUUAUUUCAGAGCAUUAAUCUUUAUACAAAAAGUGCUAAAAUUAUAAAAUUUUAGGUUUGAAAUGAGCGACGAUUUUCCGCCAAAACGUGAAACUAAACGACAAAAUACCGCAAAAUCAACAGCUCCAAAACAAGAUGGCGGACGACAGUGUUGGAAAUGAAAAAACUUUUUGCACGUUUUUUAAAAAGGCAAAACGAAAAGGAAACGUUCGGAAACGGAAAGCAGAAAGUUCGGGAAGCGAGGACGAAACGUCUGUUGUGAGAUUAGAAAAGAAAGCCGCCCCAAACCCUUUAAAACAAAAAACUGGCAAUGCUGUUAGAUCUUGGGAGGUUCAUGAAGAGAGCUCGAAACAGAAUUCAGAUAAACAAGGUUAAAAUGACUUUUAAUUUGCCAAAUUAUAAUAAAUAUAUAGAAAAAAUGGUAAAAUAUGGUUGUACCCAAACAUGAACUUAGCAAAAGGAAUCCGCUAGAAAUUGGCCUUGGCUGUGGUUGACCAGUCUAUACCCCCAAUGGGCCAUUGCAUUUUUAAACCAACCCCCCCCCCCCUAUUGAGGACAUCCAUUUUUUGGUCCCCCCUCCCCUGGAAUUUCCACAUUUUUUAAGCGAAUUUUUUGCCUCCCCCGUGGAAUUUCCGCAGAUUUUUAUUGAAUUUUAGCCAUCCCCAUGGAAUUUCCGCAAAUUUUUUAUGAACUUUUAACCCAUCCCAUGGAAAUUCCUUGACAGUUUUUGAUCUAGCCAGUGGAAAUUCCAUAUUGAUUCUUUGAUUAGUAGCUAUCCCUUGGAAAAUUCCUUGCUGAUUUUGAUCCUAUCCUUUGGAAUUUCUUUUCCAUUGUUG
Paramuricea clavata is the source of this 880-nucleotide non-coding RNA. The record is from the annotation of a GenBank genome assembly. NCBI's taxonomy places the organism in Eukaryota, Metazoa, Cnidaria, Anthozoa, Malacalcyonacea, Plexauridae.